This is a non-coding RNA of Cinara cedri, 504 nucleotides long. NCBI's taxonomy places the organism in Eukaryota, Metazoa, Arthropoda, Insecta, Hemiptera, Aphididae. The record is from the annotation of a GenBank genome assembly.
CGAUUAGCCGACCGUUCGAAAUCGGGCGCCGGGGAAAACGCGCGUUUCCGGCGAAUGCGUCCUACAGGCCCGGGCCGCGGCAAACAACAAACAAGUCGAAAAUCGGGAUCGUAAAACGGUCGUGCGGUGGUGGGUCCUUAUAAAGGCCAUUCAAACGGAAACAAAUCUAAUAUGAUAUGUAUAGCAGUAUAUAUAUACAUUUUUUUUUUUAUUAGCUUUCACCGAGAAAGUAAUUACUGUAGCUCAACGAUUAAUUAUGUAAAAAAAAAAAAAAAAAAAACACGUUGUACACCGUACCUAAGUAGGUAAUAAAAAUAAUAAUAAAGUAAAUAAUAAAAUAUCCAACGAGACGUUUAUGCAUAAACGAUACACCGAUAAUAAAAUAUUGUGAAAGGCCGGUAGGCAGUAAGAAGUGUGCAGGCUAUGAAAUUUUAUAUUUUCAUUAAACCGCUAAACGACGCGCGUUAUUAUAUUAUAGUUAUUUUUAUUAGAUGUGUGUGAUCG